Molecule: ribosomal RNA, 440 nt
Filed under: uncultured bacterium
Lineage: Bacteria
Description: partial 16S ribosomal RNA
Rfam family: Bacterial small subunit ribosomal RNA
Source: RNAcentral
CCUACGGGAGGCUGCAGUGGGGAAUAUUGCACAAUGGGGGAAACCCUGAUGCAGCAACGCCGCGUGAGUGAAGAAGUCUUUCGGUAUGUAAAGCUCUAUCAGCAGGGAAGAAAAUGACGGUACCUGAAUAAGCCUCCCCGGCUCCCUCCGUGCCAGCAGCCGCGGUCCUACGUCGGGGGCACGCGUUAUCCGGAUUUACUGGGUGUAAAGGGGGCGCAGACGGCAGUGCAGGUCUGGAGUGAAAGCCCGGGGCCAAACCCCGGAACUGCUGUGGAAACUGUGCGGCUAGAGUAGGGGAGGGGCAGGCGGAAUUCCUAGUGUAGCGGUGAAAUGCGUAGAUAUCAGGAGGAACACCAGUGGCGAAGGCGGCCUGCUGGACAGUAACUGACGUUGAGGCUCGAAAGCGUGGGGAGCAAACAGGAUUAGAUACCCCAGUAGUC